GGCAGUGUGGCCGAGUGGUUAAGGCGGUUGAUUCGAAAUCAAUUGAGGUUUCCUCACGCUGGUUCGAUUCCAGUCACUGUCG
This is a transfer RNA of 82 nucleotides. It matches the Rfam family "tRNA". From Rfam's summary of the family: Transfer RNA (tRNA) molecules are approximately 80 nucleotides in length. Their secondary structure includes four short double-helical elements and three loops (D, anti-codon, and T loops). Further hydrogen bonds mediate the characteristic L-shaped molecular structure. tRNAs have two regions of fundamental functional importance: the anti-codon, which is responsible for specific mRNA codon recognition, and the 3' end, to which the tRNAs corresponding amino acid is attached (by aminoacyl-tRNA synthetases). tRNAs cope with the degeneracy of the genetic code in two manners: having more than one tRNA (with a specific anti-codon) for a particular amino acid; and 'wobble' base-pairing, i.e. permitting non-standard base-pairing at the 3rd anti-codon position. The record is from Rfam.